GAAUUCGGUCCGUAUCGUGUGCCUAUAUUCUCCUCGCCACCUCGUGGCGCUGGGGGAACCCCAAAGUAUCUCCCGUGUUCCGUGCUGUCCUCUCACGUUGCCGUGUCGGUGGCAUUGCCCGCGGGCAGUUAUGCUCGUGCUCUCGGAUUCGGAGCCUUGUGCGGGUACACGGGGUCUUCGACCUCCGUUUUCCCGCCAAGCGUUCGUCGCUCGUUGUGGGCUACAGCCGCGCCUGCGUCUGACCGUACCGGCUCUGUCGGUCGGGCUUAUGCAGCGCCGGCGUCGGAAAAAAGGAAUGCUACCUGGUUGAUC
RNAcentral lists this unclassified non-coding RNA (312 nucleotides) under Camellia sinensis. RNAcentral describes it as "partial external transcribed spacer". Lineage: Eukaryota; Viridiplantae; Streptophyta; Magnoliopsida; Ericales; Theaceae. The record is from RNAcentral.